UAAAAAAUUAAAAUUUAUUUUAAAAAUUAAAAGUCAUAAAAAUAAAUUCUAAAUAUUUCUAAUUAACUGAAGAGGGGUAUUUUUUUAAUAAAAAAGUAAAUAAAGUUGUACCUUUAGCAUUAGGGAAUUUCAAAAAAAAAUAAGUUUUUAUUUUUCUCGAAAUAAAUAGAUCUAAGUAACUUUUUAUAGUUUUAUUUCAAAAAGGCUAAAAUAAAGUUUGCUUAGAAGUGAAAUUCUUAUCAAAAUUUAUGAUAUCUAGUUUUUUUAAUUAACUUAAAGUUAUUUUUUUAAUAAAAAAUUAUUCUUUUGAAAAUUUUUAAAAAAAUAAAUUUGUUGGGAUAAGCUAAUAAAUUUUAAAUUUUAAAACUUUUUACGCUUAUAAAAAAGAGUUAAAAUUGCUUUUAUAUUUUUAUAAAUAAUUAUGAUAAUGAAAUUUAACCUAAAUUAUAAUUAAAAAUUUAAUUAAUAUAAAUUAUAUAUAAAAAUGAAAUUAUUAGUAUAAAUACAUAUUUAAUAUUAAAAUAAAAAUAAACAUAGAAAUUUGAAAUAUAGUUAAUAAAUUCGGCAAAAAAUUUUUUUGACUGUUUAAUAAAAACAUUGUGUUUAGAAAUUAAAUAAACAUAAAUCCUGCUCAAUGAAAAUUUAAAUUGCUGUAGUAUUUUGACUAUACAAAGGUAUUGUAAUAAGACUUUAAUUGAGUGCUAAAAGAAUGGAAUUACAAAAAAAAACUUUAUUAAUUAUAAUAAUAAAAUUUAAUUUUAUUUGUGAAGAAGCAAUAAUAAAAAUUAAGGACAAGAAGACCCUAAGAAUUUUAUAAAUUUUAUUUAGAUUAAUACUAAAUUUUAAUUUUUUAAUUGGGGCGAUUAAAAAAUAUUAAGAACUUUUUUUUUAAAAAAAAGAACCAUUAUUAGUGGUAAAAUGGAAAAAUACUCUAGGGAUAACAGCGUAAUAAUUUUUGAUAGUCCAUAUAGACAAAAUAGUUUGCGACCUCGAUGUUGGAUUAGGAUUCUUUUAUAAUGAAGAAGUUAUGAUAAGAAGUUUGUUCAACUUUUAAAUUCCUACAUGAUCUGAGUUUAGACCGAUGAGAAUCAGGUUGGUUUCUAUCUUAAUUAACAAUUUAAUAUAUGUUAGUACGAAAGGAAUUCAUAUUUAAAAUAAUUUUAAUUAUUUUACUUUUUUUGCAUCAAUUUUUGGAAUUU
This 1199-nucleotide ribosomal RNA is filed under the name Amblyomma triguttatum (ornate kangaroo tick). Lineage: Eukaryota; Metazoa; Arthropoda; Arachnida; Ixodida; Ixodidae. The record is from RNAcentral.